This 253-nucleotide ribosomal RNA is filed under the name uncultured bacterium. RNAcentral's name for it is "partial 16S ribosomal RNA". It matches the Rfam family "Bacterial small subunit ribosomal RNA", at positions 524 to 776 of the family's 1533-position model. The record is from RNAcentral.
UACGAAGGGGGCAAGCGUUGUUCGGAAUUACUGGGCGUAAAGGGCGCGUAGGCGGUGCGCUAAGUCAGAUGUGAAAGCCCUGGGCUUAACCCGGGAACUGCAUUUGAUACUGGCGCGCUUGAAUCCGGGAGAGGUUGGUGGAAUUCCCAGUGUAGAGGUGAAAUUCGUAGAGAUUGGGAAGAACACCGGUGGCGAAGGCGGCCAACUGGACCGGUAUUGACGCUGAGGCGCGAAAGCGUGGGGAGCAGACAGG